GCUAUUUUGUCAGAUGAUAUGUGCUAGACUUAGGAUCUAGUUAAAUAGAAUAAUGUUCUAUAAAUAGUA
RNAcentral lists this transfer RNA (69 nucleotides) under Hepatus epheliticus (calico box crab). Its description in RNAcentral is "tRNA-Leu". Lineage: Eukaryota; Metazoa; Arthropoda; Malacostraca; Decapoda; Calappidae. The record is from RNAcentral.